This 465-nucleotide ribosomal RNA is filed under the name Vreelandella stevensii. Its description in RNAcentral is "partial 16S ribosomal RNA". It matches the Rfam family "Bacterial small subunit ribosomal RNA", at positions 338 to 795 of the family's 1533-position model. The record is from RNAcentral. Lineage: Bacteria; Pseudomonadati; Pseudomonadota; Gammaproteobacteria; Oceanospirillales; Halomonadaceae.
CCUACGGGAGGCUGCAGUGGGGAAUAUUGGACAAUGGGGGGAACCCUGAUCCAGCCAUGCCGCGUGUGUGAAGAAGGCCCUCGGGUUGUAAAGCACUUUCAGUGAGGAAGAACGCCUGGUGGUUAAUACCCAUCAGGAAAGACAUCACUCACAGAAGAAGCACCGGCUAACUCCGUGCCAGCAGCCGCGGUAAUACGGAGGGUGCGAGCGUUAAUCGGAAUUACUGGGCGUAAAGCGCGCGUAGGUGGCUUGAUAAGCCGGUUGUGAAAGCCCCGGGCUCAACCUGGGAACGGCAUCCGGAACUGUCAAGCUAGAGUGCAGGAGAGGAAGGUAGAAUUCCCGGUGUAGCGGUGAAAUGCGUAGAGAUCGGGAGGAAUACCAGUGGCGAAGGCGGCCGUCUGGACUGACACUGACACUGAGGUGCGAAAGCGUGGGUAGCAAACAGGAUUAGAUACCCUGGUAGUC